Molecule: ribosomal RNA, 253 nt
Filed under: uncultured bacterium
Lineage: Bacteria
Description: partial 16S ribosomal RNA
Rfam family: Bacterial small subunit ribosomal RNA
Source: RNAcentral
UACGAAGGGGGCUAGCGUUGCUCGGAAUCACUGGGCGUAAAGGGUGCGUAGGCGGGUCUUUAAGUCAGGGGUGAAAUCCUGGAGCUCAACUCCAGAACUGCCUUUGAUACUGAAGAUCUUGAGUUCGGGAGAGGUGAGUGGAACUGCGAGUGUAGAGGUGAAAUUCGUAGAUAUUCGCAAGAACACCCGUGGCGAAGGCGGCUCUCUGGGACGGUACUGACGCUGAGACGCGAAAGCGUGGGGAGCGAACAGG